RNAcentral lists this ribosomal RNA (60 nucleotides) under Histoplasma sp. RKI10-0183. RNAcentral describes it as "partial 5.8S ribosomal RNA". It matches the Rfam family "5.8S ribosomal RNA", at positions 97 to 154 of the family's 154-position model. Rfam says of the family: 5.8S ribosomal RNA (5.8S rRNA) is a component of the large subunit of the eukaryotic ribosome. It is transcribed by RNA polymerase I as part of the 45S precursor that also contains 18S and 28S rRNA. Functionally, it is thought that 5.8S rRNA may be involved in ribosome translocation. Lineage: Eukaryota; Fungi; Ascomycota; Eurotiomycetes; Onygenales; Ajellomycetaceae. The record is from RNAcentral.
UCUUUGAACGCACAUUGCGCCCCCUGGUAUUCCGGGGGGCAUGCCUGUCCGAGCGUCAUU